This 1042-nucleotide ribosomal RNA is filed under the name uncultured Methanocorpusculum sp. Its description in RNAcentral is "bacterial SSU rRNA". It matches the Rfam family "Archaeal small subunit ribosomal RNA", at positions 4 to 1054 of the family's 1478-position model. The record is from RNAcentral. Lineage: Archaea; Methanobacteriati; Methanobacteriota; Methanomicrobia; Methanomicrobiales; Methanocorpusculaceae.
CCGUUUGAUCCUGCCGGAGGCCAUUGCUAUCAGGGUUUGACUAAGCCAUGCGAGUCGAGAGGUGUAAGACCUCGGCAUACUGCUCAGUAACACGUGGUUAACCUGCCCUAAGGUGGAGAAUACUCCCGGGAAACUGGGGCUAAUGCUCCAUAGUGGAUAUGUCCUGGAAUGGUAUAUCCUCGAAAGAUCCGUCGCCUUAGGAUGGGACUGCGUCCGAUUAGGUUGUUGGCGGGGUAACGGCCCACCAAGCCUUUUAUCGGUACGGGUUGUGGGAGCAAGAUCCCGGAGAUGGAUUCUGAGACAUGAAUCCAGGCCCUACGGGGCGCAGCAGGCGCGCAAACUUUACAAUGCGAGCAAUCGUGAUAAGGAAACCCUGAGUGCCUGUCGAUGCAGGCUGUUCAUAUAUCUAAAUCAUAUGUGAAGAAAGGGCAGGGCAAGACCGGUGCCAGCCGCCGCGGUAAUACCGGCUGCUCGAGUGAUGGCCACUAUUACUGGGUUUAAAGCGUCCGUAGCUUGACUGUUAGGUCUCUUGGGAAAUCUUCGCGCUCAACGUGAAGGCGUCUAAGAGAUACCGGCAGUCUUGGAACUGGGAGAGGUAAACCGUACUUCGGGGGUAGGAGUGAAAUCUUGUAAUCCUCGAGGGACGACCUAUGGCGAAGGCAGUUUACCAGAACAGCUUCGACAGUGAGGGACGAAAGCUGGGGGAGCAAACGGGAUUAGAUACCCCGGUAGUCCCAGCCGUAAACAAUGUGCGUUAGGUGUGUCGGUAACCACGUGUUACUGAUGCGCCGAAGAGAAAUCGUGAAACGCACCACCUGGGAAGUACGGUCGCAAGGCUGAAACUUAAAGGAAUUGGCGGGGGAGCACCACAACAGGUGGAGCCUGCGGUUUAAUUGGAUUCAACGCCGGACAUCUCACCGGAUAAGACAGCUGAAUGAUUGUCAAUCUGAAGGUUUUACAUGACUAGCUGAGAGGAGGUGCAUGGCCGUCGUCAGUUCGUACUGUGAAGCAUCCUGUUAAGUCAGGCAACGAGCGAGACCCA